GAGAAUAAAAGUCAACUGAAAACCAUACUAACAGGAAGAAGUUAUCGGUAGUAAAGAGCAGGGGCAGGUCUGCAACGGGGAGACUGCAAAAGGGCAAAAUCUACAAACACAAUCUUUAAUUUUGACCAGGAAAUACAGCAAUGAUUGGGUUUUCUUCCAUUUCUUAGCAGGAGAUUCCACAGAGCAGCUUGCUUACAAUCGUGGGAGGAAGUCUCUUCCCAGCAACUGGAAUUCGGUUUGGACCCUGCUGCAGCCCCUGGGGGAUUGCCCUGGGAAAGGAAUCCUGUGUUUGGAACUCAGCUGCCCUUCCCAGGUCCCCACUAAAGGUCCAGCCAUGUCCCCAGGUGGUGCUCUGUUCAGAUGGCUCACCCCGAUGUGGGCGAAAAGUCAGAAAUCUGAGCUGGGCUGUGGCCCUGGGUACUGCCUUUCAAAGAAUCUGCUGUAGGUUUUCCUUUUGCUGCUUGGACAGAGAUAAAGUCUAUCUAAAAGGCACUCAAGGCUGUUGUUUCCCUUCUGCAGAGGUUUUUGGGGAUUCUUGAGAAAGGAGUAAGGACUGAGGCUGAGGUAACAGAAAGGAUGGGUGUGGCCUGGGGCUUGCCUGAAAGGAUGAGAUCAGCCUGCAUGUCUCCAAGACAGCCUCCUGGUUUACCCCAGAGGCCACUUGGGGACGAUUCAGCCUCCAAGUGCAGUCUUUUCAUUUUACCUCUGCCAGCAUUUGGGGGGCUGUGUGUGAGGUACAGAAGUUCCAGGUGAUAGAAACCCAGGAGAGAAACGCCUGUGUCUGCUAUUCCUUAACUGAGAGACAGAGCUUGGAUUCUGGUCCCUCUUCAAGCGGCUGCUGACCUGGUACACACUUGUCUCCCUGAACCAGAGUUUGCUCAUCUGUGAAGUGAAGGGGCGGGGCUGACUCAUCUCUACAGUGUUUUUCCAUUUCGAGGUCUGUGGGUCUGUGGUUACUUCCUUUUCCUCAUCAACAGCCAGCCCCUAUCAGAAGUAUGUUUACUUGAAAGUUUUGAUGUUGGCAUAAAAUUCUAGCUUCACUAUGUUAGGCUUUCCUGGUUGCAGCAGACAAAAACCACAGAUACAUCCAAGACGCCAAAUGACGCUCAGAUUCAGGGCCAUGGCUGGUGUAACUAGCACCUUGGUUAGUGUGAGAAGAAAAAGUGCCUUCCCUGGGUGGACUCAGCUGCAAGUCAGGUGGGUCCAUGUUCUAGAAGGUGGCAUACCAGCUGUUUUCAGCCCAAUGAGCUCUCAGGAGUCCUUGUGCAGUGCAUAACCUGUACGAGCAUCCGCAGAGUGCUCACUUCUUUGGGCUCUGACUCCUUACUGAAGGUAAGGAGUAAAAAGUGGCCAGAACAGAUGCAUACCAUUGAUAUGACAGAAGGAGACUUUUAUAAUUACUGCCUUAAAAUAUUUCGUACAGUUAAAAAGCUGCAAGUCUGGGCCUAAGAUGCUGCCCAGAUCCUACACUCACACAGUCCAUCUGAUUUGGAAGCAUCAAGGGGCAAGAUUCGUAAUAAUAAUAAAAUUCCUUCAUUUUUAUAGAACCUUACAAUUUAGUAGCACAUUAAAUGUACUUUCCUUUUCGAUUUGCUUCUGAUUCUAACCAUUGCCCUGAUGAGUAAUAAUUAUCCUCAUUUUAAAUGCAAAGGAAAUGAAGCUGAGAGAUUCAAAGACUUGCUCAAGGUCACCUAAUAAGUGGUGAAGGCAAGAACUGAACCCAUGUCUGUUUAGCUCCAAGUUCAAGAUUUUUCUCUUCCACACCAGGUCCCAUAAGAUCCUGAUUUGGGCAGUGGCAGCCAGACCUAUAGAACUAUUCUUUGAGGGUUUAGAAUUAGUCUGAGAAAGCCAUCCUUCUUGUAUUAACUAUAGAAGGGCUCUCCAUGCAGCUGUAGUAACGAGGCUUAGAAUACAAGUUCUGGAGAGGUCUUGGCAGAUCUUACAGUCAAGUCAAAGUAUUUCUCACAUGGGGAAAUGAUACCUGGAGAUUCGCUUGUUUGGUUAAAUGUACCUAUACUAUCUGUGUGCCAUUAACCCAGGACUCUCCAACAUUUUAGAUUUCACUCUGCAAGGCAUCCUAGGAAAGCCUUGGGAGUCUAGAGAGGGUCACCUGGAAGUCACCAUAUAAUACAAACAUAAUAUCUGUAGGCCACUACUGAUGAAUCCAAGACUCUUCAGUGUCAUUGUGGUCUUCCCGACUGUGAGCACAGGCCUUUUAGCAGUGUCUCAUCACUGCUUUUAUUUACAGCAUCUGGGAUAGUUAAACUGGAGCAGCUUCCAUCUCUCCCCAGGCCCCAGACCCAAAUACCCACUUCCUAUCACAUAUCUCCGCCUGGACAUCCCCUGGGCAUAGCCAACUGAAAUGUGUGUAAAGUGUCCACUGCCUUCUCCUACCACAAAUCUGCCACCUAAGCCCACCCCUCCCUAGUUCAUGUGAUUUCCACGUGUGUCACCAUGCAUGCUCCCAUGUCCAACUUAACACCUUAUACUCACCCUCUGUUCCGUGCAUUCCUCCUUUACCACAUUCACCAGGUUACCAGGUUAAUUCUGACUCCACUUCCUAAACUCCACUAAGAUCCAUUCCCUGUCCUCAGUGUCUGCUGCCAUUAUUUUAGCUGCGGUCUUCCUUAUCUCUGCUUCCUGUCUCUCCAAGCCAGCCUCCAUUUGGCCUUUAGUUCUCUCUCCAAACAAAAAUCUGACCAUACCCUUUUCCUGUUUAAAAACCAAAAUGACGUCUUUCUGCUACAGAAAGAGCUAACUGUUCUUAGUAUAGUAGCAUGGUCCCUAUUACUAGCAGUUCCCCCCAACCUGCCCUGGACUUUGCAUAUACUUUCCUCUGCCUGAAAAACCCUUUUCCUGGGAAUAAUUUCAACACCCUGCUCAUUGAUCACUUCUGCAGUGUUGACUUUCCAGGUAAUUCCUGGGGGAGAUUAUCCCUCCCUCCUUUGGAUCGUUUCAGGGGCCUGCAACCACUGCUCUUAUCAUGUGUAUUAUUCUGUUUCUGUAUCUGUCUCAUUUACACCAGAUUUUGGUUCUUCAAAAGCAGAAGCUGUCUCAUCGUCUUUAGACUUCAAGGUCCUGGCAUACUGUCUGGCCCACAGUAGGUACAGGUAACUGUCAAAUGAAUGGAUGGGAUGGAUGUACAUCUCUGAUGAAAUAAGAAGCUUAGCUUGUUAAGUCUUCAUUAUUCUCUUGGUUUUAAUCUUUAGGGAAAAGGGCAGAAGUCAUCCCCUUUAUUCCACAGUCAAAAUACUGACAAAUUUGGGAGGCUGGAGAAACAUCUAUUUCUUUCCUAAAAAUUGUAUCUGGGGUGGGGAUGAGGAGCCAGAAUUUCAGAGAAAAUGAAGAACUUGGUCAGAUUUUCCAGCACAGCUGCCUGCAUCACCCAGUACUGAGCAGGGAAGGCACAGCAGCCUAGGAGGUUGACCCUGGCUAAGGCUAAUAUCCUUGCUGAAUUCUUUCGGUGGACCUUACAAACCAUUUGUAAAAUGCUGAAUCCUUUCGGUGGACCUUACAAACCAUUUGUAAAAUGGUUAGGAGCACGAUGCAUCCAUGCUACUUUUGGGUCCUGCUCCUUCUAACUCAUGGCCCUCCCACUAUCCAACACGACUUCAGAAAGAGGGGUCUUAAAACUAGCUUUGGAUUCUUAUAAACUUUAGCUGAUUGAAGGAAAUGCAACAGCUUUGGAAGGAAGGUGCUUCUGAGAUGCUCGAGUGCCCUGUCCACACUCCCCAGCCCCCUAGUUGUACGGAAUCCGUGGAGCAGUCUGCAAGGUAGCUAAGGUGCUGGCUGCCAGCAUUCCCUGGGAAAUUCGAGCUGUGCUUGUCUGUUUUGGUUUCCCUUUCAGUUAGGCAGGCCUGGUGUUCCCACCAGCUAAUGUCUAUAGUUUAUUUAACUAUUAUUUCAUACGUUUUCCUGUGAAGCUCUUCGAAAUACUAGAGAAAACAGUUCUUCUAUGUCCUCCAUGCUACCUUCAUGGGAUGGGUGGGGAGCUGAGAGGGGGACUGUUUAUAGAGAGGCAAAGAAACUGGGAAGCAAUCUGUGUCACCGAAAACCGCCUGGAGGCUCAGGGAAUACCAGACAGGUUCCCAUUCCCGCCCUGGCUCCAGGCCAUAUUUUCGUUUCCGCCAGUUUCUUAGCCUCAUUGAAAAUUUGGCUUCACUUAGAAUAAUUUAGAAACAUAUAAGCCUGGGACGGUUUUCGGAGGGUUUCAGGCCUUGACUUUUACAGUAGUAAACAAAAAUGUCCCUCUGUCCCUUCAGACCGCUGCUACCCGCAGCCGUUUUCGACUGGGUGGGAGGGCUCCGCCGAGUCCCCGGGACCCUGCGGGGACGCGGCCCCCAACAGAGGUAAGGCUGCGGAGAAUCCUCGCACGGAAGGGAAACAGACUAGGACUGAAGUUGCAGAGGGGCAGGAGGCUUCCGAGAAACGGUCCUUCAUCUCAGCGACCCCCGGGGCUGGUCCCUCCCUGCCGAAGGAAGAAUAAAGAUAUUUGAAGAUAGUCAAGAGGUUAGUUGGCUCUAGAUGGAGUGAAAUGCAGCAUUAACAUCUAAUUAAGAAAAAAAAAAGAAGCCCAAAUAAGCAGAUCGGUGAACAGAGACUGAAAAUUUGAGUGGCCACCUCCUACAAACUUCAGCACCUGCUCAACUCAGUUUCACAUCAGUGAGAUGGGGAUAAAAGUGCCCCGUUUCAGACAGGUUGGCGGCUCACACUAUUGACCAGCAUCAACCUGUCUGCAGACACUUUCCCGUCAGUUUGCAGACUCCCUGAAUCCAGAAGCUGCAUUGAAUAUAAUGUGUUUGCACCCAGGACAGUGUUGCCUAGAAAUAAGCAUAUCGUUCAGGGAAGCCUGGAAGGAGUGCCAUGAUCUCCAUUUUAUAGCCCAAAUCCUAGAGCCCACGGCUCUCGUUACCUUCCCACCGUGUUACCUUGAGGAGAAAAGGCACUGGCCACCAUCUUUUGGUCGAUUGCUGGACUCACACUGGGGAUUCCUCUCUCAGCAGCUGGAAAUGAUGUGAUGAUUUCUCCCCCCACACCUUCCGUCAGCACCAAAGAAUGAUUUACAGGAUCUAACCCCAAACUGAAAAGCUGUACAGUGAUGUUCAUGAUUCAAGCCACAUAUUUAUUCUUUUUUAUUUGUGCUCCUUAUAAAAGGUUUGUAUAUCUUUCUGUUCUCUCUCUCUCUCUCUCUCUCUCUCUCUCUCUCUCUUUAUAGAAUGUCCUGGAGCAAAGUAAAAAAAAAAAAACCUAUGUUGUGUAAUUUACAAAGUAUUUCAAGGUCACUCAAGGUUCAUUCACUCAAUUAAGCAUUUUGUUUAUCAGCGAAUUUGAGCUCUUUGAUGUGUCUAUGGAGUGUGUGAAAAAUGCACAGCGUCCAUUCUUGUACAACUCUUAGGCAAGCAUGCAUACAGCUGACUACAAGACCACAUAUUUAGUCCAUGUUAGUCCUGUGGACAAAGUCUAAGGGACUUCAGGAGACUGAGAAUUGAAUUUUAGUGGGGGAAGGAUGAGAAAAGGGUAGAACAAGGAACCGACAAAAUGGAGGAGUUGCCUGAGCUUGAUAUUCAGUCAUUCCAUAAACAUUUACUCGACCAUCACCUAUGUGCCAGGCACAAUUUGAGGCACCAGAAAUGCAAAGAUGGAUCUUACACAGUCCCCAUCCUCAAGGAGCUCACAGACCAAAAGAGGGCAAACAAAAUGUCAGCAACUGAGUGUUAGAUAGCAAGACUGAUGUAUAAGUUGAAGUGCGACUGCCCAGAGAUGGUGCAUUCUUUCUGGUCUGUGCCUUUAAGGUGAGGAAGAGGCAAGAACUUCUAGAGGAGGUGGGUUGUAGUUGACUUUUGGCAACUAUGAAAAUUCUUUGAUACUUUGAAACUACGAUGGUGUUGGGGGGCAGAGUGAGCAGACAGGGAAGCGUGGAAUAGCAAGGCACAGUCAAGGAAAGCCAAGCAGUCAGAAACUGGAGGGACAAGUGUGUACAAGUGGGCAGCGCUGAAGAGUGCGUCUGGGUUGGUGGACAAGGAAUGGCCUUGAAUAUGAAGCUAAGGAGCUUUGAUCCUCUAGGCUUUGGAAAAUCAUGGUAAGAUUUUUAAACAAGAGAAUGAUAUCAGAAUGACAUUUGAGUGUAUUUAUAUCAAAUGUAAAUGGCAGUGAAUGUUAAAUGAAAAUUUAAGAUUAUUAUUGAAAAAGUUUUUUUCUAAAGCAUUUAUAAUUUUGUAUUAAAUUUAAGAGGAAAACACAGAUUUUAAAUAAUAAAUGUGUUUUUAAGUAGAUUUUUUCAUGUUGAGGUAAUUGUAGAUCAUGAGAAAUACUAUAGAGAGGUCCUAUGUAAUCUUUAUCCCAUCUUCUCCAAUAAUAUGAUCUUAUAAAACUGCAGUACCCAUCCAUCGAUACAGUUAAAAUAAAGAAUAUUUCUAUCAACACAAGAAUCCUUCAUGUUGCCCUUUUACUGGCCACACACUCACCUCUCUCACUCAUUCACUCCUUCCUCCCUGGAAAUGUAUCAUGUUUUCCUUUUUAGGAUGGUGCUUUUUGUGUUAAGGCUAAGAACUCUUUACCUAGCAUUAGAUCCUGGAUAUUUUCUGCCAUUUUUUUCUAACAAUUUUGUGUUUUACAGUAAAGUCUAUGCUCCAUUUUGAGUUAAAUUUUGUAUAAGGUGUGAGAUUUAGAUCAGAGUUCUUUUUUUCUUUUUUUGCUAUGGAUGAAUAAUUGCUCCAGUAUCAUUUGUUAUAAAAGCUGUAUUUCCUCAUUUGAGCUGCUUUUGCACCUUUGUCAAAAAUCACCUGGGUGUAUUUGUGUGGGCUUAUAUCUGGGCUGUUUGUUUAUUCUGUUCCACUGAUCUGUGCAUCUAUCUCUCCACCAAUAUCACACAGUCUUGAUAACUGUAGCUACACACAAUAAGUCUUGGAAUAGAGUACAUUGAGUCCUACCUUAUUAUUUUAUUUCAAAUGGCUUUAGCUAUCCAAGUGUCUUGGCCUUUCCACAUAAAUUUUAGAGUGAUCUUGUCUAUAUCUACAAAAAGUCUUGCUGGGAUAUUGAUAGGAAUUGUAUUAAACCUGUGUAAUAGUUUGGGAAGAACUGAUGUCUUUACUAUUUUAGGUCUUCUAAUCCAUGAAUAUAGUAUGUUUAUUUGUUUAAAUAUUCUUUGAUUUUUUAAAAUAAGCAUUAGGUUGUUUUCAGCAUAUAAAUCCUAUAAAUGUUUUAUUAGAUUUACACCUCAGUAUUUGCUUUUUUGGUAUGAUUUUAAAUAGUGUUGUAUUGUAAUUUAGAUGUGUUCAUUUCUAGUGUAUAAAAAAAUGAUGGAUUUCUAAGAUACUUAUUUUGAAUCCUCUGACUUUUCAAAAUUCACUUAUUUGUUCUACGAGUGUUUUAAAAAUAGAUUCCUUGGGAUAGUCUGUAGAUAAUCAUGUCAUCUGUGAAUACAGAUAGUUUUAUUUCAUAGUUCAUUGUUUUCUAAUCUGUAUGCCUUUUAUUUCCUUUGCUUCUUGCAUUGGCUAGAACUUCUCGCAUUUUAAAUACGAGUAGUGAGAGGAGAUAUCCUUGCUUUGCUACAGAUCUUAAGGGAAAAGCAUGCAGUCUUCACUACUAAGCAUAAUGUUAGUUGUAAGUUUUUGUAGAUUCUCUUAAUCAAAUUAAGAUAGUUUCCUAUUCCUAUUUUUCUGAGACUUUUUGUCAUGAAUGAAUGUUGACUUCCAUCAAAUUUUCUGUUUUGAUUAAUAUAAUCAUGUGUUGGUCUGUUGAUUGGUGGCUUACCUCAGUUUCUUUUCAAAUAUUGAAUUAGCCUCGCAUCCCUGGAAUAAAUCCCACUUGGUCAUGGUAUAUAAUUAUUUUUCCAUAUUAUUGAAUCCUAUUGCUAAUAUUUUGUUAAGUAUUUUUGUGUCUAAAUUCAUAAGGAAUGUUGGUUUGUAGUUUUCUGUUUAUGUACUGUCUUUGCCUGGCUUUGUUAUCACAGUAAUACUAGCUAUAGAAAAUGAAUUGGGAAGGGUUCCCUCCUCUUCUAUUUUCUGGAAGAGAGUUUGAAAAAUUGGUGUCAAUUCUUCAUUAUGUAUUUGGUAGAAUUCUCCAGUGAAACCAUAUAGUCCUGGAGAUUUCUUUUCUGUGAGUUUUUAAAUGAAAAAUUCAAUUUCCUUAAUAGUUCUAGGGGUAUUCAAAUGACUUAUUUCAUUUUGUGUGCGUUGUGGUAGUUUAUAUUUUUUGAGGAAUUGGUCCAAAUGUCUAUUAGCAUGUAGAUUUGUUUAUAGUAUUCAUUUGUUAUCCUUUUGAUGCCUGCAGGUGGAGAGAUAGACGCACAUCAUUGUUCAUGAUGUCAGUAAUUUGUGUCUUCUCUCUUUAUUCUUUCUCAGUCUUGCUAGAAUAAUGCCAAUUUUUUUGGUCUUUUCAAAGAAUCAGCUCUUUGUUUCAUUGAUGUAUCAAUAAUUUUCUAAUGAAUCCAUUUAGUGUUAUAAAUCUAUCUUUCAGUACUGUUUUACCUGUGCCCUAUAAAUGUUGAUAUGUUGUAUUUUCAUUUUCAUUCACUGCAAUGUUUUUUAAAAAUUUCUUUUCAAACUUCUUUGACCCAUGAGUUAUUUGGAAGUGUGUUGUUAAAUUUCCAAGUAUUUGGAGAUUUUCCUGUUUUCUUUCUGUUAUUGAUUUCACUUGGGUCAGUUUGAUUCCACUGCAGUCAGAAAACAUACUAUGUAUGAUUUUGGUGCUGUUACAUUUUAUUAGGGUUAGUUUUAUGGCCCGGGCUAUGUUCUAUAUGUUCUGUGGGCAUUCAAAAAGAAUGUGCAUUCUCCUGUUGUUGGGUGGAGUGUUCUAUAAAUGUGUAUUAGAUUCUGUUGUUUGAUAGUGUUGAUGAAUUAUUCUAUAUCCUUAAUGAUUUUCUGCCUAGUUAUUAUAACAAUGAUUGAGAGAAGGGUGUUGAAGUCUCCAAACAGAAAUGUAAAUUUAUUUGUUUUUUUCUUUCAGUUCUACCAGUUUUUGCUCCAUAUAUCUUGCAGCUCUGUUGUUUGGUGCAUACAUAUUUAAGACCACUAUGUCUUCUUGGUUAAUUGACACUUUCAUCAUUUUUAACAUCUACCUUUGAGUCUGGUAAUUUUCUGUGCUUUGAAUUUUCUCUACUUUAUCUGAUAUUAAUAUAGUCAACCUGCUUCCCUUUGGAUAACAUUUGCAUUAUAUAUUUCUUUCUAUCCUUUUACUUUCAACCUGCUUAUAUUGUUAUAUUUGAAAUAAGUUUCUUGUAGAAAGGAUAUAGGUGGGUCAUGUUUUUAAUCCACUCUCCCUAUCUCUGUCUUUUAACUGCUAUAUUUUGAUCAUUUUCAUUUAAUGUAAAUAUAGGGCUGAAGUCUUUUUUGUUUUCUCACUCUUCUCUCUGUUUUCUCAUUUCUUUAUUUUAUUUUUCCUUCUUGUAAAUUACUUGAAUGUAUUUUAUAACUCUAUUUUGAUUUUAUUUCUUUGUUGACACUUUCUGUUUCUUUGCUGGGAUUCUGUAUUCUUAUUUGUUUCAUACAUGUUCAUAAUUGUUUGUUGAAGCACUUUUAAUAGCUUCUUUAAAAUCUUUGGGCCUGCUUUAAAGUACUUGUGAUAUCACUCUAAUUUCUCUUUCAUCUUAAUGUGGGUAUCUAUUAAUUAUCUUUUUUUCAUUCAGUUUGAGAUCCUCCUGGUUGUUAUAAUAAGUGGUUUUCAGCUGAAACUUGGACAUUUUCAUAUUAUGUUCUGAGAUUUUGGGUUUUUCUUGGCUUUUUAGGGGGGCACCACUUCAUUCUUGCAAAGUGGAGGUAGAAAUCCAGGUUCCUCACCUGCCCGUUGUUGAAAGUCACUCCCGAGAGGGCUGCUUUUUCUUACUGCCAGUUGGAGGUGGGAGGUCCAGUUCCCCAUGUGGUCUCCACUAACUCUGCAGUUAGGGAAGUCUUGUUACUGCUGGGCUAUAUGGUAAAGUCCUGACUCUCCACUAGUCCUCCUCUGACAGCACCCCAAAGGGGAAGGAGAGGGGCUCCUUGUUACUGCUGGAUGGGGUGGAAGUCCAUGCUCUCAGUGUGAUCUCCACUGACAUCACGGGGAUGGGAAGAGCUCAUUACUGGCCAGUGAGGAUGAAAGUGCAGGCACCCUACUUGACCUUCUCUGACACCACCCAGUUGUGCUGGCACACCUCAGUAUAGUCUCAUGAGGGUGAAGUCUAGGUUCCUACUAUGACUUUGCUGAUGUGGGUGAGAGUAGGGCCACAGAUAGUUUCUGUGGUGUUUGACUGGGGUAGAGUUUCUAAAAAGUUUCCUGUCUGCUAGGCUGCCCUUUUCUUAUUCCUUUGUCAGUAAAGAGAAAGCUUUGGGUUGAGGCUUGUAUUGUCUGCCUUUAGUAUUUCAGAAUUGCUGGGUUGUUUAGCUCUAAUUCUGGGAUCUAUGGGGCCAAAAGAAAAUCCGGGAACUGACAGACCACUCUGUCAUUCCUUGGGCUCUGACGUCUCUAGUCAGUCUGCCUCCUUUUUGGUGUCUUUCCAAGUCUUCUUAUCUUGAUUUUAUGUAUAAUGACCAUGGUUUUUAUUUGUGUGUGAUGGAAGGAAUAGGUACAUCAAAUUCUGUCUAUUCUACCUUCUCUGAAGAAGUACCAAGUGUAAAUGAAUGUAAUUAAACAUUUUAAAGUAUUUUAUACAAACAUUUGAAAUAUAAUUAAACAUUUUAAAUUAUUUUAUACAAAUAAAAUCAUGUACAGUUUCACAUUAAGUAUUCUUCUAGUUACCAAUAAAAAUACUGGUGUCAUGCUUCACUCAUAUAAACAAAUUUAAGUGUAAUAUGAUUUGUUUAGUAUUGCAAAGUGUUCCUCAGCUGCUACCUGCAUCUGUUGCAAAGAGUGUGAUCAUUUGUGAAUAUUUCUGGAACCUUUAAUUAAAACAAAGAGAAGGAAGAAAACAGCACCUGGCACUUACUAGGAAAUAAUCAUUCAGUUAGCAAGAAGUAGUGCAUUUGUGCUGAGAGCAAGGAUUUGACAAGUUAAUUUGUCUCUUCUCAUAUCUAAGUGUUUCUGUUGCUCAAAUUCUCCCCAUGGUUCAAUUCUCUUAGGACAAAGCUUACAAACCUUCAUGGCAUUCAGACACAGCUGCCUUCUGCUUUGAGGACUGGGCAAGAGAUAUGAAGUAUUUCCCUGGGGCCUGCAGGGUGCUAGUAACAAGAGUGGAUGUUUGGGAUUCUGUGGGGCUCUUCACCAGCACUGAGCACCAGAUCCCAAGAGCACCAGAGCUCUUCAUUAAGUGUGUGUGUGUGUGUGUGUGUGUGUGUGCUGUGAGGUAUGGUACCCCCUCUAACACAUGCAGCCAGGCCAGGAACUCUCUUGCCUGGAACCUAAGGGUAGUAUUAUCUUCUACUGGGCAAGUUCAGCUAAGACUCUGAAACUACAUGAAUUUUAAUGGCUUUCUUUCUCAUCUGCUUCUCAUAAUCUCAUGUAAGACUAUUCACAAUGUAAAUGAGGCAAAACUAAACAUUUCCACAUUCAAUUGAGAAUUAAUAUGAGGUAAACACAGAUCAGGAGAUGGUGAGCAUUCUUUCUCUACAAUUUAUGAUGCAAUUUUAAUGGCCCUGCACCACUGUGUCUUUGUGUAGUGACACUGUGUAGGCAAAAAGGCAUAUUUCUCUCUCUGAAUUAUGGAGGAAAGAGCUGAAUUUAUUUUACGGUCAAUUUCAUUUUUUCUAACUAGAGUCAAAUGAUUGAUAUAAUUAAAAAUAUAUCAGCUCACCCAGAACAGUAGCAGUUGUGUAUUUGGUUAGAUGGCAGGAUAAUUACCAACCCUUAUCUUUGAUUUUCAAACUUAAAUCUGUUUCCCGUUUAGUUUUAAUUGGUUCUAGGCUUCCAUCCAUCCUUAACUUUGAGUUUAUUUGUUGCCAUUGUUGUG
Manis javanica (Malayan pangolin) is the source of this 11857-nucleotide long non-coding RNA. RefSeq lists it as uncharacterized. Lineage: Eukaryota; Metazoa; Chordata; Mammalia; Pholidota; Manidae. The record is from RefSeq and is a predicted model, not a curated record.